RNAcentral lists this transfer-messenger RNA (365 nucleotides) under Dongia sedimenti. RNAcentral's name for it is "Rhodospirillaceae bacterium R-7 transfer-messenger RNA". It matches the Rfam family "Alphaproteobacteria transfer-messenger RNA". Rfam says of the family: Bacterial tmRNA, also known as 10Sa RNA or SsrA, is named for its dual tRNA and mRNA-like properties. Its role is to liberate the mRNA from a stalled ribosome. The record is from RNAcentral. Lineage: Bacteria; Pseudomonadati; Pseudomonadota; Alphaproteobacteria; Rhodospirillales; Dongiaceae.
CGGUUUGAUUCCCGGCCCGUCAGCGCCUAUAUUAACGAUUGUCGGGCAACCGACUAUGGCGAUAAACGCUCUGUAGAAUAAGCGUUACGGACCCGGGGGCGGUACCCGGCGCCUCCACCAGUUUGCCCACCGAAGCACCGAUUGGGUGCCCAGGUGGGCCGUUAUGGGGGCGAAACAGGAUCGACGUGCGUGGUAAAGGCAGAGUUUUUGCUCGGUAUGGUACCACCGUUAUCGGGCCAUUUCAGAGAUGCCAACGACAACGUUGCAUCUGAUCUUCGUCUGGCGGCCUAAUAGCCCUAACGGGCUAUAAGCUGUUGACUUAGAACGCGGUUCGGGGGGCGCCGGGCAACAGAAUGCCCCCCACU